This 483-nucleotide ribosomal RNA is filed under the name uncultured bacterium. RNAcentral's name for it is "partial 16S ribosomal RNA". It matches the Rfam family "Bacterial small subunit ribosomal RNA", at positions 30 to 507 of the family's 1533-position model. The record is from RNAcentral.
UUGCACGCUGGCGGCAGGCCUAACCCAUGCAGGUCGAGCGGAUGAAGGGAGCUUGCUCCUGGAUUCAGCGGCGGACGGGUGAGUAAUGCCUAGGAAUCUGCCUGGUAGUGGGGGAUAACGUCCGGAAACGGGCGCUAAUACCGCAUACGUCCUGAGGGAGAAAGUGGGGGAUCUUCGGACCUCACGCUAUCAGAUGAGCCUAGGUCGGAUUAGCUAGUUGGUGGGGUAAAGGCCUACCAAGGCGACGAUCCGUAACUGGUCUGAGAGGAUGAUCAGUCACACUGGAACUGAGACACGGUCCAGACUCCUACGGGAGGCAGCAGUGGGGAAUAUUGGACAAUGGGCGAAAGCCUGAUCCAGCCAUGCCGCGUGUGUGAAGAAGGUCUUCGGAUUGUAAAGCACUUUAAGUUGGGAGGAAGGGCAGUAAGUUAAUACCUUGCUGUUUUGACGUUACCAACAGAAUAAGCACCGGCUAACUUCGUG